Molecule: ribosomal RNA, 1045 nt
Filed under: uncultured bacterium
Lineage: Bacteria
Description: bacterial SSU rRNA
Rfam family: Bacterial small subunit ribosomal RNA
Source: RNAcentral
GCUUCCGAGGGUGCACAGAAUGACCGGUCAUGGUAAACGGCGGAUUAGGCAUAUAGACAUGCCUAAGCUUCAGAGCCCCCAGUGAGUAUUCCGAUCCUGGAUUCUAGUCAGGCCAGCCCGGUAUCGGAUGCAGCUAUCGAUUUGGCUAAGCUCCGCAGGCGCUUCAGUCGCGUUAAGCUGGAGCUACUCAUCAUGCAGGGAACUGAAGCUGAGUAUGUAGGGCAGAGGAUCCGGGUAGCGGUGAAUGCGUAGAUAUCGGGAGACACAGUGGCGAUGUCGCUCUGCUGUCAUACUGACGUCAUGACGAAAGCAGGGAGCGAAAGGGAUAGAUACCCCUGUAGUCCUGGCCGUAAACGAUGAACACUAGUGUCGGGGGAAUCGACCCCUUCGGUGUCGUAGCUAACGCGUAAGUGUUCCGCCUGGGGAGUACGCACGCAAGUGUGAAACUCAAAGGAAUUGACGGGGGCCCGCACAAGCGGUGGAGUAUGUGGUUUAAUUCGAUGCAACGCGAAGAACCUUACCAGGGUUUGACAUCCUGCGAACCUCUUAGAAAUUUGAGGGUGCCUUCGGGAAUGCAGUGACAGGUGGUGCAUGGCUGUCGUCAGCUCGUGUCGUGAGAUGUUGGGUUAAGUCCCGCAACGAGCGCAACCCACGUUUUUAGUUGCCAGCAUUUAGUUGGGCACUCUAGAAAGACCGCCGGUGAUAAACCGGAGGAAGGUGUGGAUGACGUCAAGUCAUCAUGCCCCUUACACCCUGGGCUACACACGUACUACAAUGCUACGGACAAAGGGCAGCAAACUCGCGAGAGCUAGCAAAUCCCAUAAACCGUGGCUCAGUUCAGAUCGUAGGCUGCAACUCGCCUACGUGAAGUAGGAAUCGCUAGUAAUCGCAGGUCAGCAUACUGCGGUGAAUACGUUCCCGGGCCUUGUACACACCGCCCGUCACACCAUGGAAGUUGGCCAUGCCCGAAGUCGUUACUCCAACCCUUGUGGAGGAGGACGCCGAAGGUGGGGCUAAUGACUGGGGCGAAGUCGUAACAAGGUAA